Molecule: long non-coding RNA, 836 nt
Organism: Aethina tumida (small hive beetle)
Lineage: Eukaryota; Metazoa; Arthropoda; Insecta; Coleoptera; Nitidulidae
Exons: 5
Source: RefSeq, a predicted model, not a curated record
AUCUCUUCGGAUUACUUCGAUAUAGAUGUUUCAAGUUCAGACUAAAGUUUAAUUAACAAGUCAAGAAUAAACUAAGGCACUUAUAGGAUAAUAUGGCCAAAUAAUUUAAUCGUACAUUUUUAUUCCAAAUUCAUAAUUCAAAUCAACCAACCGACCAACGUUCCAAGAGAUAAAUUUAAUUAUGUAUAAAUGAAACGAAAUUUAUUUACAUCGUUUAAAAUACUACAAAGGAUCCAAGGCACCUUAAGUCUGAAGCUUGGUACACGACGAAGAACAUAUCUGAAACACUUCAACAAAGUAAUUAUUUCAAGUUCAGAUUCAAAAUUAAUUGAUAAGUCUGUUGAAAGCGUUGAACAUAUUCAAAAGGACUCGAGGCACUAUAAGUCUGCAGCUUGGUACACGACGAAGAACAUAUCUGAAACACUUCAACAAAGUAAUUAUUUCAAGUUCAGAUUCAAAAUUAAUUGAUAAGUCUGUUGUAACCGUUGAAUAGAUUCCAAAGGAUGACUCAAGGCACUAUAAGUUCAGCUAUAUAAACUAGGAGUGAAAGGUAGCAAUGUUUUGAAACUUCGAAAGUCCAUCGAACAGCUUUGUACCACCACUGCAAUAAAAAGAAAAAUCAAUUGGGACUCAAGUAGAACAGAAUAUUUUUGGAAGAAUCCUGAAUUUAAAUCCUGAAACCAAUUCUCAGGUAAAAUUAUUCUUACUCUUUUUGAAACGUUGUUUUCGGAGUCACCUCCAGUCUCAUAUCAAUAAAACUUUGUCAUACUUUAGAAAAAUAUGCUAUUAAGAUAACUACAAGUCCUGUAUUGGACCUCAAUGUAGAAUAAUCUUUA